CCUACGGGUCGCAGCAGUGGGGAAUAUUGGACAAUGGGCGAAAGCCUGAUCCAGCCAUGCCGCGUGUGUGAAGAAGGCCUUCGGGUUGUAAAGCACUUUCAGUGGGGAAGAAAGCCUUGGGGCUAAUACCCUCGAGGAAGGACAUCACCCACAGAAGAAGCACCGGCUAACUCCGUGCCAGCAGCCGCGGUAAUACGGAGGGUGCGAGCGUUAAUCGGAAUUACUGGGCGUAAAGCGCGCGUAGGCGGUCUGAUAAGCCGGUUGUGAAAGCCCCGGGCUCAACCUGGGAACGGCAUCCGGAACUGUCAGGCUAGAGUGCAGGAGAGGAAGGUAGAAUUCCCGGUGUAGCGGUGAAAUGCGUAGAGAUCGGGAGGAAUAGCAGUGGCGAAGGCGGCCUUCUGGACUGACACUGACGCUGAGGUGCGAAAGCGUGGGUAGCAAACAGGAUUAGAUACCCUAGUAGUC
RNAcentral lists this ribosomal RNA (465 nucleotides) under Vreelandella stevensii. RNAcentral's name for it is "partial 16S ribosomal RNA". It matches the Rfam family "Bacterial small subunit ribosomal RNA", at positions 338 to 795 of the family's 1533-position model. Lineage: Bacteria; Pseudomonadati; Pseudomonadota; Gammaproteobacteria; Oceanospirillales; Halomonadaceae. The record is from RNAcentral.